UCAAAAGUAAUCCUUAUUUAUUCACAUUUAAAAAAAUUUAUCUGAUAUUAUUUUGUAGCUUCAAGAUAGGAAAGAUGUAAUUGCUUAUUUUUAGAAUGACAUUGCAGGGUAGGUGAGAGAGGGUAGGGUUCUGGCCAGUUUGAGCAUAAAACGUGUAGAAUAUUUGGGCCGGAUACAGCCGGUUUAAACACUAAAGCGUUAAAAAAGACUUUACAUCACUAAAAGUGAAAUAAAUUGCCUAAAAAAUUUAUAAUCACAUUAGCAAUAAUUCAUCUCAGAUAUUUAUGCAUUUAAUAUAAUAGUUUUCAAUAUUACCAACCAGAACACUAAAAUGUUACACAAAGUUGUUUCUGCAUUGAUAAACAUGUCACACUAAAUUCUACCACCAGCAGGGUUUUGCAGUUCUACUCAGACUUAACAUAUCCCCGUGGUAAAUUGCAUGUAAUUAGCAAAAUGAGUAGUUAAGGUCACAAUUUUCUGUCCUAACCAAUGGAAUUGCAAUAAUCUUGUCAAACAAGGCACAUUACUCUGUUUGAUAAAACUGCAAUUGACUUAGUAAUUGAAUGGUGAAUAUUUCUAUAUUGACCAUUCUUCAUGUUUUAACAGUGAAGCAGAAGACUGUUUGUAUAAAUACCAGAUUUAUAAAGAUGGAGAAGUUGCAGAAUAUACCAAAAUAAUGAAAAUAAUAAUGAGACAAUUUAUAUACAAUGCUUACAGCUGGUCAAUCAGGAAAUAAUGUUCUGGUAAAUGUAACCAGUUUACCCCAAAGCGAUCUUCAAAUGGAAAGCUCAAAAAAUAAAUUUAAAAAAGAUUGCUGUUCAAAUAAAGUAAUUAAAAAAAAAUAAGGUGGUGUAAUUUCAGAUUUCAACAACCAUGAUGAAGUUAACAGAAACAGCAGAACACUAGAAUAGAUGUUGUACUGUAGCUGGUUGACUAUAUAGCUUUUCAGAAUUUUAACCUUCACAGCAGUGUACUUUACACCUCGUUGUGUGCGGGGUAAAAUGGAAAUACUGUAGGUACAGUUGGUAAGGAAUUCCAUUCAGCAAUCAUUAUGGUUCCAGGUCUGAUCCCACUGUGCAGGAUCUUGACUAAUUGUUUCCUACUGCAACUUCAGAUUGAUUCGUGCUUUCUAAGUAGUAUUUGGAAGAGAGAAACUAUGCAAAAGCCUACUGUACGUGUGAUUAUACACACAAACAAACAGAUUUUGCAUGGGUGUUUACUUGUUGAAGAAAUAAAUCUUACUAUCAGUCAAUUCUAAAAGAGAAAAAUGGUUAACAGAUCAUUAGACUGUGUAACCACUUUGAAGAAUUUUAGUCAAACCCCGAUGAGCAAUCUGGAAGACUAGCCACAAGCAUCACCCUGGAAAUGUGGAAAAAAUUCAUCAGCUUGUGCACGAGGAUCAUCAGAAGACAAUCAACAACAUUGCUGACGUUGUUGGUCUGUCAUAUGGGACCAACAAUUGGCUUCUUCAUGAUGACAAUGCACCCUGUCACCAAGCUCUCCUCAGUCGUGAGUUUCUCACCAAAAAUGACAUGGUAUCAGUUCCACACCUGCCCUAUUUGCCAGAUUUAGCACCUAUAGACUUCCAGCUCUUCCCAAAGAUGAAAAUGCAGCUCAAAGGUUGCUGUUUUAACACCAUUGUCAAGAUCAAGAGCAAAUUGCAGAAGGUCCUCAACUCGCAUAUGAAAAACAACUUCCAGAUCGGAUUCCAAAAGUGGCAGGAAUGCUGGGAUUGGUGUACUGCUGCACAAGGUGACUAUUUCGAAGGAGAUGAGAUUAAAACUUAGAGAUGAAGAAAGAACAGAAGAAAGAGAAAGAGAAAAAGAGAAGGGAGAGAGAGAAUGAUAGAACCAAUGAACGUUAGUAUAUCUCCCAAUGAAUUACAUUGAGGCUAACUUUUCCAAAUAAAUCCCUUAACACUUUAACAUUUAAAUCAACCAUAUCCGGCCAAAAUAUUCUACCUGUCUUAUGUUCAAACUGGCCUGAUCUGGCCUCUCACACCAAUCCUACAUGAUUAUUCUAAAAAUAAACAAUCACAACAAAAUC
This is a long non-coding RNA of Octopus bimaculoides (California two-spot octopus), 2046 nucleotides long. Lineage: Eukaryota; Metazoa; Mollusca; Cephalopoda; Octopoda; Octopodidae. The record is from RefSeq and is a predicted model, not a curated record.